GGCCGGUCAGUCCGGCCCUCGUAAUGCGGCGAACCGGUGGCAAGCCCGGUGGUGGACGCAGAGCCAGAG
This 69-nucleotide non-coding RNA is filed under the name unclassified sequences. The record is from RNAcentral.